Molecule: transfer RNA, 75 nt
Filed under: Staphylococcus arlettae
Lineage: Bacteria; Bacillati; Bacillota; Bacilli; Caryophanales; Staphylococcaceae
Description: tRNA-Lys
Rfam family: tRNA
About the family: Transfer RNA (tRNA) molecules are approximately 80 nucleotides in length. Their secondary structure includes four short double-helical elements and three loops (D, anti-codon, and T loops). Further hydrogen bonds mediate the characteristic L-shaped molecular structure. tRNAs have two regions of fundamental functional importance: the anti-codon, which is responsible for specific mRNA codon recognition, and the 3' end, to which the tRNAs corresponding amino acid is attached (by aminoacyl-tRNA synthetases). tRNAs cope with the degeneracy of the genetic code in two manners: having more than one tRNA (with a specific anti-codon) for a particular amino acid; and 'wobble' base-pairing, i.e. permitting non-standard base-pairing at the 3rd anti-codon position.
Source: RNAcentral
GAGCCAUUAGCUCAGUUGGUAGAGCAUCUGACUUUUAAUCAGAGGGUCAGAGGUUCGAACCUCUAUGGCUCACUA